This is a long non-coding RNA of Salmo salar (Atlantic salmon), 1598 nucleotides long. RefSeq lists it as uncharacterized. The record is from RefSeq and is a predicted model, not a curated record. Lineage: Eukaryota; Metazoa; Chordata; Actinopteri; Salmoniformes; Salmonidae.
UUGUACUCUUACUGAAUUUCUGAAGGAAGUAACUUACUUUUUACUCUUUUACAUGUUACCAAAUCAUUUCAUAUACAUAUAUUUAUAUUAUUAUGUCGUCGCUGUCGGAUGAAAUCCUCCUUAUCAAAAUGUUGUUGAUUUUUUUAGAUUUUUUUUUUAACUUGAAUCUAUAGUAUUGUGACGACCCUGGGUUUAUAAGUGCGGAUGUCAACUCUGACGCUGGAGCUUGCUUUUGCGGCACAGUCGAUAGCGCACUGGACUUCGGGCUAGAAGGUCCAGGGUUCGAGACCUGCUUCCUGCUGUUUCAUUACAAUAUUGGUUCCCCUUUACGUUUGUAUGAAUGUUUCACAACUCCUUGACCAAUGAAAUGUAUUAGAAAUAGCUUGUCGUCAAAACUCUUAAGUCCAUUGUCUCUCAAAGUUGUCCGUCAAACCCAGUUGUAUCUCCUCCACAAUUCUUGAAGUGAAGAACACUUCACUCCUCAAGAUUUGUUUGUUCUUGGGUUCUCAGCCAGACACAAUCAGAGGAAGAGUAGCUGCUGCUUUCGCAACAGCUAAUGGGGAUACUAAUAAAAUACCAAAUACUGAUUGAGCAUGUUCAGGAUGUUCUGGAUCGACAUGUACGACAGUGUGUUCCAGUUCCCACCAAUAUCCAGAAACUUCGCAUAGACAUUGAAGAGGAGUGGGACAACAUUCCACAGGCCACAAUCAACAGCCUCAUCGCGAAGGUGAUGUGUUGCACUAUAUGAGGCAAAUGGUGGUCACCAGAUACUGACUGUUUUUUUUAUUUUAAUUUUAAGGUACACUAUAUAAAGAAAAAAGUAUGUGGACACCCCUUCAAAUGAGUGAAUUUGGCUAUUUCAGCUACACCCGUUGCUGACAGGUGUAUAAAAUUGAGUACACAGCCAUGCAAUCCCCAUAGACAAGCAUUGGCAUUAGAAUGGUUUUACUGAAGAGCUCAGUGACUUUCAACAGGGCACCGUCAUAGGAUGCCACCUUUACAACAAGUCCUCAGUUUGUCACAUUUCUGCCCUGCUAGAGCUACCCCGGUCAACUGCAAGUGCUGUUAUUGUGAAGUGGAAACAUCUAGAAGCAACAACGACUCAGCCGCAAAGUGGUCAUAGAGUUCUUUUCAGUUGACUGAUUUCCUUAUAUGAACUGUAACUCAGUAAAAUCUUUGUCUAUUCCAUUUAUAUUUUUGUUCAGUGUAUCUAAUGAAAAUCUAUUCAUUUUUUCUUUUUUCUUUUUCUUUUUACAAAUAGUCAAUUUUUCCACAUUAACAUUAGAGUAUUUUGUGUAAAUUGGUGACCAAAAAAGUAGUGGAAUGAAAACCUGAAGGCAUUGAGGAAAAGAUGGUAAAAUGUGUUUAUUCUGGAAAAUUUGAAACUGCCGUUUGCGCAGUUAGCGUAUUACUCUUGUGAAAGUGUAUUGAAGUACUUUGGAAAGCUAAUGUGGAGUGUACCAACUGAGAUUUAAAUAAUUUACAGAAAUAGAUUUUUACAAAUGUAAAAUAUUUUUAUUAUUAUGUUAUCCUUGUGUUAUUGAGAGAUAAACAUGGUAAUACUUUUACUGAUUGCACAUAAAUGAUGAUCAUUCAUA